UCCAUACAUAGUUGUGGCCAUGGCUUCAAUUUCUGGAUCAUGAAUUUCUUCUGCAAAUUUGUAUGUAAAACGCAACAGAGUGAUCAAAUUCUCACUGAACAUUCAAACACAUACUUGAUUAAUUCAAUAUGAAACAAAUAAUCACAACUUAACAAAGCCCUAAAUCCCAACUGCUUGGGUAGAUUGACCAAAUUCCUUUGCAAAUCAAUUGUAUCUAGGUUUAUACCAUUCACUAAAUCAUUGGAAAUAGCAAAUCAAUUGUACGUACCGUUUAUGUUUCCAUGGUAAAACUAGAGAAUGUUUAUUCCAUCCAAAUCUUUUUUAUAUAUAAUUGUACAAGAUAAUGUUCCUAGAUAAUUAAUUAUAUAGAAAUACUAGCUUGACCAGUGAACAAGAAUGAAAUCCUAGAAUUCAAAUUGUCAACAAUAGCAUUGACAGGUUAAAAGCAUUCAAAGAGAAACCCUAGCCCUCUAUUUGGUUUCCACACAAAUAGAGCAAUAAAAGACAACUUAUUUCUCAUCUUUUACUUCCAAAAAAGAAAAAGGGAAAAGCCCUUCGUACUGUGAAUUUUAAGUAAAGUGGCAUGUUUCUGCAUUCCCGAAUCAUCAUUGAUGAAAAUUUUAUGAUUCAAAUCAUUGUUGGUGAAAAUUUUUCAAUUCAAAAUUCUAAUUGUUUUUUUCAUGUUUUCUUAGUAUCUAAACUAAAUAUAUUUUCAUCCAAGAAAACUAUCUAUUUUUAUACAAGCAAGCAUUUCCACUUAGCAAAUACCGUUAAUCUAACAAAAAUCUAGCCGUAAUCUAGACUGGCAAUAGUUCCACGGCUGUUCAAAGAGAAACCCUAGAAUCGAAAACUUCCAGCAAUAGCAUAUCCAACCUAUAAAGCACUCAGAGUGAAAUCCGACCCUCUGUUUGGUUACCAAGAAAAAUAAAACAAAACCACAUUUUGAUUUCUUUGUUUUCUCUCUCACUUUCUUUGCUUCCAAAAAUCCAACAAUAAAAAAUUUAAAAUUUAAAAAAUUAGAUCAACUAAGCCAAAGAGUCUUAUCAGUUUUAGGUAAAGUGCAAUCUUCUGUAUUCUCUAACCCUAGAUGGCAAAAUUUUCUUGCAUUUUCUCAUUAUUUCGAUUGUAUCCAACGGAGAAGCUGAUUGAAUGAAUUGGGAGUAGAGAUCGUAACAGUACCUUGAACUCAGAGAUCGAUCGAAACGCAGCCUUUGGAGAAGUGACAAUUGACCCUUUUUGCGUACCGACAACCGAGAGAUUGAAUGCUUCUCUGUAAACAGUUAUCGGAUCCCCUCAACUCAGAUAUCGCCCGAAACGCAGCGUUUGGAGAAGGGACGAUAGGAAUCAUAGGACGCCUACGGAGUUCAGUCGGGUAAUAAUGGGCUGGUCAUGGGCCGGCCCAAUAUCUCUCGAUCAAAUUUUACUGCCUACAUAGUUUGAUCUGAAUGAAAGCUAACUCAACUUCAUCCCCUACUUAAUUUAUUUUAGAUUUUCAAUCCAUACUCAAUUUAAUCAUGUU
This 1519-nucleotide long non-coding RNA is filed under the name Vitis vinifera (wine grape). Its description in RNAcentral is "long non-coding RNA (VVIN_LNC008057)". Lineage: Eukaryota; Viridiplantae; Streptophyta; Magnoliopsida; Vitales; Vitaceae. The record is from RNAcentral.